This 926-nucleotide ribosomal RNA is filed under the name uncultured Rubrobacteria bacterium. RNAcentral's name for it is "bacterial SSU rRNA". It matches the Rfam family "Bacterial small subunit ribosomal RNA", at positions 8 to 916 of the family's 1533-position model. Lineage: Bacteria; Bacillati; Actinomycetota; Rubrobacteria. The record is from RNAcentral.
AGAGUUUGAUCCUGGCUCAGGACGAACGCUGGCGGCGCGCUUAACACAUGUAAGUCGAGCGAGAACCAGGCCUUCGGGCCUGGGGACAGCGGCGAACGGGUGAGUAACACGUGGGUAAUCAACCCUCGAUACUGGGAUAGCCCGGGGAAACCCGGAUUAAUACCGGAUAGCCCUUUGGAUCCUCGGAUCUGAAGGAAAAGGUAGCUUCGGCCUCCGAUCGAGGACGAGCCCGCGGCGGAUUAGCUUGUUGGUGAGGUAACGGCUCACCAAUGCGACGAUCCGUAGCUGGUCUGAGAGGACGAUCAGCCACACUGGGACUGAGACACGGNCCAGACUCCUACGGGAGGCAGCAGUGGGGAAUCUUGCGCUUAAAUGCGGGAAAACCGUGACGCAGCGACGCCGCGUGAGGGAAGAAGGCCUUCGGGUUGUAAACCUCUUUCAGGAGGGACGAAGCCACUCGGGUUAAUAGCCCAGAGGGUGACGGUACCUCCAGAAGAAGCCCCGGCUAACUACGUGCCAGCAGCCGCGGUAAUACGUAGGGGGCAAGCGUUGUCCGGAUUUAUUGGGCGUAAAGAGCGUGUAGGCGGCUAGGUAGGUCCGUUGUGAAAACUCGAGGCUCAACCUCGAGACGUCGAUGGAAACCAUCUGGCUAGAGUCCGGAAGAGGAGAGUGGAAUUCCUGGUGUAGCGGUGAAAUGCGCAGAUAUCAGGAAGAACACCCGUGGCGAAGGCGGCUCUCUGGUACGUGACUGACGCUGAGACGCGAAAGCGUGGGGAGCAAGCAGGAUUAGAUACCCUGGUAGUCCACGCCGUAAACGAUGGGUGCUAGGUGUGGGCGGUGUCGACUCCGUCCGUGCCGAAGCUAACGCAUUAAGCACCCCGCCUGGGGAGUACGGCCGCAAGGCUAAAACUCAAAGGAAUUGACGG